GCGACCCCAGGUCAGGCGGGAUUACUCGCUGAGUUUAAGCAUAUCAAAAAGCGGAGGAAAAGAAACUUACAAGGACUAGCUUAGUAACGGCGAGCGAACCGGGAACAACCUAGCCUUAGAAUCGGGCGGCUCCAUCGUCCAAAUUGUAUUCUGGAGAGCCGUCGUCAGUAGCGGACCGAGCCCAAGUCCCUUGGAAGGGGGCGCCAGAGAGGGUGAGAGCCCCGUUGUGACUGGACCCUGUCGCACCAUGAGGCGCUGUCUACGAGUCGGGUUGUUUAGGAAUGCAGCCCACAUCGGGCGGUGAAUUCCUUCCAAGGCUAAAUACGGGCGAGAGACCGAUAGCGAAGAAGUACCGCGAGGGAAAGAUGAAAAGGACUUUGAAAAGAGAGUCAAAGAGUGCUUGAAAUUGUCGGGAGGGAAGCGGAUGGGGGCCGGCGAUGCGCCCCGGUCGGAUGUGGAACGGCGACGAGCCGGUCCGCCGAUCGACUCGGGGCGUGGNUCGGCGAUGCGCCCUAAGAAGGAUGUAGAACGGCGAUGAGCCGGUCUACCCAUCGACUCGGGGCAUGGAACAGCGUCGAUUGGGGGUCGGCCAAAGCCCGGGCUCUCGAUAUGCUCGUGGAACUCCAUCUCCUCGAUUGUGGUAGGUAGCGUGCGCCUCCGGCGUGCUUCGGCAUCUGCGCGCUCCGGACGCUAGCCUGUGGGCUCCCCAUUCGACCCGUCUUAAAACACGUACCAAGGAGUCUAACAUGUGUGCGAGUCAACGGACGAGUAUACCCAUAAGGUGCAACGAAGAUGUUUGGUGGGAUCCCCCCGAGUGUUGCACCGCCGACCGACCUUGAUCUUCUGAGAAGGGUUCGAGUGUGAGCAUACCAGUCGGGACCCGAAAGAUGGUGAACUAUGCCUGAGUGGCGCGAAGCCAGAGGAAACUUAGGUGGGGGCCCGCAGCAAUACUGACGUGUAAAUCAUUCGUCUGACUUGGGUAUAGGGGCGAAAGACUAAUCGAACCAUCUAGUAGCUGGUUCUAUCUGAAGUUUCCCUCAGGAUAGAUAGAGCUCGCGUGUGAGUUCUAUCGGGUAAAUAUAGUGAUUGGAGGCCUCGGGGGCGCAACGCCCUCGACUGAUUCUCAAAAUUUAAAUAGGUAGGAUGGCGUGGCUGCUUGGUUGAGCUGCACCACAUAAUCAAGAGCUCCAAGUGGGCCAUUUUUCGUAAGCAAAACUGGCGAUGCGGGAUGAACCGAAAGACGGGUUGUGGUGCUAAACUGCACGCUAACCUAGAUCCCAUAAAGGGUGUUGGUCGAUUAAGACAGCAGGACGGUGGUCAUGGAAGUCGAAAUCCACUAAGAAGUGUGUAACAACUCGCCUGCCGCAUAAACUAUCCUCGAAAAUAGAUGGCGCUUAAUCGCGCGAGCUACACCCAACCGUCGGGGCAAAUUCCAGGCCCCAAUGAGUAGGAGGGCGCGGCAGUCGCUGCAAAACCUUGGGCGCGAUCCCGGGUGGAGCGGUCGUCGGUGCAGAUCUUGGUAGUAGUAGCAAAUAUUCAAAUGAGAACUUUGAAGGCCGAAGAGGGGAACGGUUCCAUGUUAACGACACUUGCACAUGGGUUAGUCGAUCCUAAGGGUCAGAGAAACCCGAACAGACAGCGCAUUUUGUGCGUGCUUCGAAAGGGAAUUGGGUUAAAAUUCCUGAACCGGGAUGUGGCGGUCGACGGCAACAUUAGAAAGUCCGGAGACAUCAGUGAGAGCCUCGGGAAGAGUUAUCUUUUCUGCUUAAUAGCCUGCCCACUCUAGAAUCAGCUUAGCCGGAGGUAGUGUCCAGGGGCUGGAAGAGCACCACACGUCACAUGGUAUCCGGUGCGCUCCCGGUGGCCCUUGAAAAUCCAAAGGACCGAAUGCCAUCCACGCUCGGUCGUACACAUAACCGCAUCAGGUCUCCAAGGUGAACAACCUCUGGUCGAUGGAACAAUGUAGGCAAGGGAAGUCCGCAAAAUGGAUUCGUAACUUCGGGGAAAGGAUUGGCUCUGAGGGCUGGGCACGGGGUACCCAGUCCCGCGCCUGUCGGCUGUCGGUGGACUGCUCAAGAUACUCCCCGAGCAUUGAAAAGCCAACUCAGAACUGGUACGUACAAGGGGAAUCCGACCGUUUAAUUAAAACAAAGAAUUGCUUUGGUCCCAACGGAUGUUCACGCAAUGUGAUUUCUACCCAGUGCUCAGAAUGUCAAACUGAAGAAAUUCAACCAAGCGCGGGUAAACGGCAGGAUUAAAUAUGACUCUCUUAAGGUAGCCAAAUGCCUCGUCAUCUAAUUAGUAACGCGCAUGAAUGGAUUAACGAGAUUCCCACUGUCCCUAUCUACUAUCCAGCGAAACCACAUCCAAGGGAACGGGCUUGGCAGAAUCAGCGGGGAAAUAAGACCUUAUUGAGCUUGACUCUAGUCCGACUUUGUGAAAUGACUUGAGAGGUGUAGUAUAAGUGGGAGCCAAAAGGCGAAAGUGAAAUACCACUACUUUUAACGUUAUUUUAUUUAUUCCGUGAAUCGAAAGCGGGGCACUGCCCCUAUUUUUGGACCCAAGGCUCGCUCUGCGGGCCGAUCCGGGCGGAAGACAUUGUCAGGUGGGGAGUUUGGCUGGGGCGGCACAUCUGUUAAAAGAUAACGCAGGUGUCCUAAGAUGAGCUCAACGAGAACAGAAAUCUCGUGUGGAACAGAAGGGUAAAAGCUCGUUUGAUUCUGACUUCUAGUAUAAAUAUGAACCGUGAAAGCGUGGCCUAACGAUCCUUUAGACCUUUGAAAUUAGAAGGUAGAGGUGUCAAAAAAGAUACCACAGGGAUAACUGGCUUGUGGCAGGCAAGCGUUCAUAGCGACUUUACUUUUUGAUCCUUCGAUGUCAGCUCUUCCUAUCAUUGUGAAGUAGAAUUCACCAAGUGUUGGAUUGUUCACCCACCAAUAGGGAACGUGAGUUGGGUUUAGAACGUCGUUAGACAGGUUAGUUUUACCCUACGGAUGACAGUGUCGCAAUAAUAAUUCAACCUUGUACGAGAGAAACCGUUGACUCACACAAUUGGUCAUCGUGCUUGGUUGAAAAGCCGGUGGAGCGAAGCUACCGUGUGCUAGAUUAUGACUGAACGCCUCUAAGUCAGAAUCCGGGCUACAAGUGACACAUGUGCAGGCCGUCCGCUUGCCGACCCGCAGUAGGGGCCUCGGCCCCCAAGGGCACGUGUCGUUGGCUAAGCCGCCAUGGCGGAAGGGUCGCGGUGGCCGCCUUAAAGUACAAGUGAAGUAAAAUUUCCAUGGAGCUGCGGCCAGAAUCCUUUGCAGACGACUUAAAUAUGCGACGGGGUAUUGUAAGUGGCAGAGUG
This 3349-nucleotide ribosomal RNA is filed under the name Capsicum baccatum. Its description in RNAcentral is "eukaryotic LSU rRNA". It matches the Rfam family "Eukaryotic large subunit ribosomal RNA". The record is from RNAcentral. Lineage: Eukaryota; Viridiplantae; Streptophyta; Magnoliopsida; Solanales; Solanaceae.